GAUGAACGCUGGCGGCGUGCCUAAUACAUGCAAGUCGAGCGAACGGACGAGAAGCUUGCGUCUCUGAGGUUAGCGGCGGACGGGUGAGUAACACGUGGAUAACCUACCUAUAAGACUUGGAUAACUUCGGGAAACCGGAUCUAAUACCGGAUGAUAUUUUGAACCGCAUGGUUCAAAAGUUAAAGACGGUCUUGCUGUCACUUAGAGAUGGAUCCGCGUUGCAUUAGCUAGUUGGUAAGGUAACGGCUUACCAAGGCAACGAUGCAUAGCCGACCUGAGAGGGUGAUCGGCCACACUGGAACUGAGACACGGUCCAGACUCCUACGGGAGGCAGCAGUAGGGAAUCUUCCGCAAUGGGCGAAAGCCUGACGGAGCAACGCCGCGUGAGUGAUGAAGGUCUUCGGAUCGUAAAACUCUGUUAUUAGGGAAGAACAUAUGUGUAAGUAACUGCGCACAUCUUGACGGUACCUAAACAGAAAGCCCCGGCUAACUUCGUG
RNAcentral lists this ribosomal RNA (497 nucleotides) under uncultured bacterium. RNAcentral describes it as "partial 16S ribosomal RNA". It matches the Rfam family "Bacterial small subunit ribosomal RNA", at positions 28 to 507 of the family's 1533-position model. The record is from RNAcentral.